Molecule: non-coding RNA, 2688 nt
Organism: Lolium perenne
Lineage: Eukaryota; Viridiplantae; Streptophyta; Magnoliopsida; Poales; Poaceae
Source: RefSeq, a predicted model, not a curated record
CUUGUGCUCAGGAGGAGGAGCGGAGUAGGGUCCUGUGAUGCUUUGCUGGCGCGAGUCGGAGCAAAAAAGAAUUGGGAAUCUUCCAUGCUCCAUACUGUGCCAGCUUUGUCUAAAGCACCAACAGAAAUGGGAACGCCACAGAUGCACAACCAAAGUUAAACUACUUACCUCUAGGCUGAAUUGUCACACGAGUGUAGCUGCAGCUGGCAAGAUUAAUGGUCUGCUUGCUACAAAAAGAGUGGAAUUAAUAUCAUCAGGGAAAUAGUGUUUAUGCGAGCGGCAGUAGCGUGCCCAUGUUGUACAUGUGUGAUGUCUCUAUAUCUCUUUCCCUUUUCUUUGAUUUCUUUUAAGUCAUGUGUUAAACAUAAUUUACUUGUUGUGGAUUAGAAUUUUGUGAUGGAUAUGCGAGGGCUUUGCUUUUUGUGUGCGAUAGGUAUAUGUACAGUUUAAUGUUGUUCUCAAGAACAGUUAUUCAUAGUUCUGCCCGAGAAUUUGACAACGUAAUGACACAAGGGUAAGAACUAAUGUUUCAUAAUUAUAUCAUACUAUGCUCGAGUUUGUGCUUCGAUACAUUAGCUUUUUCUAAAGCUGUCCAUUUCAUUGGUAUUUUGUUGUACCAUUUGUGCGUGUAUUCUGCAGCUUCACUACCUUUCUGCUAUGGUUCUUCAUACGAAGUGUUAAUGCAUUUGUUGAUACUCUAUUGGAGGACAAGUUCAGGCACAGAGAAUGUUUCUCGAAGUUUGGAAUUCCUUUCACCUGACUUUGUUCAGGAUUUCUUCACACUUCAGAAUUGUGAUGCCUCCAAUUACUUAUGUCGCCGCUGCGUCUGCCGCCUCCGAGCUGGGAGACCGUGGCCUCGCUGUCGCCGCAUUUGCCCGCCGUUCAUGCAAGGUCCCCCAAAACCUGGUUAGUUGUUUGUACUUUAUUGGGCACAUAUAUGGUACAGAUGUUUUCAUUCAUACUUUCACAAUUUUUGUCUCCAUCUUAAUAUAUAACCAUUUCUACGAUACACGGACUGCAAUUUUAAAAUACUUAAGCCGCUCGGUUCCAUACAUGUUUGCACUAACUGCCGGCCUACUGUACAAUGGUACCAAAUUAUAGCUAUGAAAAUAAGAAGUUUGUUAAUCAAUAGAUUAGUAUUAAAAGUACAUACAAAAUUACCCAGGGUCAGUCGCAUAAUUCUCCCGGCCUCCCUUACGUGCAAACCCAUCUUUCAAGACACAUGGCUUAGAACGUUGCUUAGUUCUCAUGACUUUCCAUACUAUAUUAUAGAUCAGCAGGAAGGCCUUCUAGCAUUGUUUGGGUCUCCUAGCGAACAGUUAUAUUUUGUUCCAUAAGGCCUCCUAGUAAACAGUUAGAGGCUAAAAACUUUGAGAUACAAGUCUUAGGUUUCAUAAAAAAACAGGCAUGCAUUUUCUUCGCAUCACCCUUCUGUUAUGUCAUAAAGUCCUUAUUCUUCUUUCUAUUAUUCUUUCAUUGAAUUCCUUUGUGAGCAUGGCUUUUACGCUCAGAAUUGUCUAUUUUGCAAUUUGCAAAUGGUAACAUUACUAUUUCAUUCUGUAUAUGGUAUAUGAUCAUAUAGUCUGCUAUCUGGUUAAGCUCCUCUAUGCUUAUUUAUACAAGUACUUAGAUCAUGCGCCUCUGUAGGAACAUAUCUCACUCUCACUGUUCUAGGCCAUUUUGAUGAUCUCACAAAGGGAGAUGUAAAAAAUCAUUUAAUGGCACUAUAUUUAGACCCUUUCUGAUUAUACAUAUAUGUAUUGCGUAUUUGCUCUUCAUAGUAACAGAGGAGUUUAACGUUCUGGUCUGACAAGUAAUAGAUGAAACCUUGGCUUAAUAAUUUUCUCUCUAACAUUUAAGAGCAUAAAGAGAGUGUGCCGAAGUAAGUGUUCUUGACUAUAUAGCAAUGGUGUUGCAGGUUCUUUAAUUGUGGUGUCAAUGUGUCAUUAUCUGUGGGUCUUUUGAGGUAACUCCACCAUUCAUUUAAAUACACUGGGUUUCUCCCUGAAUUUUUUCCAAGAGUUCUCACAAGAUUGGCCUUAACAGUGAAGAUCCAAACAAGUGAGUUGGUUAAAAACUCACAUUUAUGUAACUCUGUGUGAUUAUUUAUUUCACUUUAAAGUUUUUUUUACUCUCAGCAAGAUAAAAACAGAGCCUUAAGCAAGACUCAUUUCAAAUUUUUCAACAAUACAUUUCUGACUUUUCAACGACUCAUCAAUGUUUUCAAGAACAUAUUUAUGGCAAUAUCAGUAUAUCACCAGCCUGUAUGUUAUAAUAAUAUUUGAGAUUCAGUUGACCACUUGAAUACAAAUUCGUGAAGUCUGUCUUCUGAAGUUGUGAUUGGCUACAAGAGAGCAAGUUUGGCUCCCGAACGAUCAACAAGUAAAGGUCCGGUCCUUUUAAUGCGACUGUUGUUGCGAGACUGGUACGGCUAAACUGAGAAGUGCUUUUAGUGUUGUUGCUAGACUGGCAUGGCUAAACUGAGAAGUUCUUUUGUUGAUAGCUGGAUCCUUUCAAAGCAGGUGGUUGAUUUUAGUUCCUGUUGUAUUUUUUAAAGAUGAAAUUCAUGUUGUAAAGACAUCUACUCCAUCUGAAUCAACACAAAGAUUGUUGAUUUUGUCCAUUCGAUGUAAGUGACAUUAAUCAUGUAUGUUUGCUAGGUAACUAAUAGAAAAAACUUAUCAUGUA